Molecule: ribosomal RNA, 94 nt
Organism: Marinobacterium stanieri
Lineage: Bacteria; Pseudomonadati; Pseudomonadota; Gammaproteobacteria; Oceanospirillales; Oceanospirillaceae
Source: Rfam
AACCACCUGAUCCCAUACCGAACUCAGCAGUGAAACGCGUCAUCGCCGAUGGUAGUGUGGGGCUUCCCCAUGUGAGAGUAGGUCAUCGCCAAGC